RNAcentral lists this ribosomal RNA (506 nucleotides) under uncultured bacterium. RNAcentral's name for it is "partial 16S ribosomal RNA". It matches the Rfam family "Bacterial small subunit ribosomal RNA", at positions 28 to 523 of the family's 1533-position model. The record is from RNAcentral.
GAUGAACGCUAGCUACAGGCUUAACACAUGCAAGUCGAGGGGUAACGAGAGGAAAGCUUGCUUUCCUUGUCGACGACCGGCGCACGGGUGAGUAACGCGUAUCCAACCUGCCCCCAACUAGGGAAUAACCUUGCGAAAGUAAGACUAAUACCCUAUAAUUUCCUCAGAUGACAUCUGACGAGGAAUAAAGAUUUAUCGGUUGUGGAUGGGGAUGCGUCUGAUUAGCUUGUUGGCGGAGUAACGGCCCACCAAGGCAACGAUCAGUAGGGGUUCGGAGAGGAAGGUCCCCCACAUUGGAACUGGGACACGUUCCAAACUCCUACGGGAGGCAGCAGUGAGGAAUAUUGGUCAAUGGGCGGAAGCCUGGACCAGCCAAGUAGCGUGCAGGAUGACGGCCCUAUGGGUUGUAACCUGCUUUUAUACAGGAAUAAAGUUAGCCACGUGUGGUUAUUUGUAGGUACUGUAUGAAUAAGGACCGGCUAAUUCCGUGCCAGCCGCCGCGGUAA